UUUUUUUUUCAUAUUUUAUUUGGGAGUGAGUUUGCAUCUCUUGUUUCAGACAGACUUAAGUCCAGCUUUUCUGAUUUUACAUAGUGUAACUUCACUUUUGCCCUUCAAUGUGCCUAGACUUUGAUGCUUUAGACAUCAUAAUUUGGCAAUGCUAAUUUGCUUCGCUUACAAAGUAAUACAUGACACCACAAUGUGAAUAACAAAAUUACUCUUAUAAUCAAA
This 222-nucleotide unclassified non-coding RNA is filed under the name Hevea brasiliensis (rubber tree). Lineage: Eukaryota; Viridiplantae; Streptophyta; Magnoliopsida; Malpighiales; Euphorbiaceae. The record is from RNAcentral.